This 293-nucleotide unclassified non-coding RNA is filed under the name uncultured Pezizales. Its description in RNAcentral is "sequence contains 5.8S rRNA gene, ITS2, 28S rRNA gene". Lineage: Eukaryota; Fungi; Ascomycota; Pezizomycetes; Pezizales. The record is from RNAcentral.
AACGCACAUUGCGCCUCUGGAACUCUCGUACUGGAGGCAUGCCUGUUCGAGCGUCAUUGCAAAACCCUCAAGCACUAAUUAUUUUGGUUGGUUGCUUGGUCUUGGCGAAAGAGAAAUAUAAUCAAAAAUCUCCUCGCUGAAAUCAAAUGGCGGAACGGCCUCGUGGUUGCCACGACGUAAUAGGCUUUAUCACCUUUCGUCUUUGGUUUACGAGAGCUUGUCUUGCCCAUUGAACUCCCCCCAAUUUUCUAGCGCUUAACCUCGAAUCAGGUAGGGAUACCCGCUGAACUUAA